Long non-coding RNA from Daphnia pulex (common water flea), 495 nucleotides. RefSeq lists it as uncharacterized. The record is from RefSeq and is a predicted model, not a curated record. The transcript is spliced from 4 exons. NCBI's taxonomy places the organism in Eukaryota, Metazoa, Arthropoda, Branchiopoda, Diplostraca, Daphniidae.
GUUGAGUUUCCGGAAGGAUCCUUCAAUCCCAAAUAGUUCGUCGGACGUUUUGGGUCGACCAGGACGUUUGGAUUCAUCCGACCUCAUUUUGGACGUCGCAAUCAGAAAAUCUCGACGAUCCUCACACUUUUUCUUCCAGUGAGAGCGGAUCCCAUCCAUCGAAGAAUUCCGGAAGAGCCGUACGCAUCGUUAGUGUCAGGUCCAGCUUCUUCUUCGCUUUCUCCAUGCUGAAUUUGCAGCCGCGUAAAUAUCUCAACAGGAAUUUGGCGUCUUAAAAUGUGUGAGAGCGAUAAGAGAGUAGGCGGCGCUUAUCAAAAUAACCAGGCCAUUUUUCGAAUGAUAAUAACAAGCCUCGCUUCCACUAGAUUGAUAGAUUAAUUCUAUCGACAUUAAGUUUUCGGAAAGAUCCUUCAAUUCCAAAUAGUUCGUCGGACGUUUUGGGUCGACCGGGACGUUUGGAUUCAUCCGACCUCACUUUGGAUGUAGCAAUCAGAA